Molecule: ribosomal RNA, 497 nt
Filed under: uncultured bacterium
Lineage: Bacteria
Description: partial 16S ribosomal RNA
Rfam family: Bacterial small subunit ribosomal RNA
Source: RNAcentral
GAUGAACGCUGGCGGCGUGCCUAAUACAUGCAAGUCGAGCGAACGGACGAGAAGCUUGCUUCUCUGAUGUUAGCGGCGGACGGGUGAGUAACACGUGGAUAACCUACCUAUAAGACUGGGAUAACUUCGGGAAACCGGAGCUAAUACCGGAUAAUAUUUUGAACCGCAUGGUUCAAAAGUUAAAGACGUUCUUGCUGUCACUUAUAGAUGGAUCCGCGCUGCAUUAGCUAGUUGGUAAGGUAACGGCUUACCAAGGCAACGAUGCAUAGCCGACCUGAGAGGGUGAUCGGCCACACUGGAACUGAGAAACGGUCCAGACUCCUACGGGAGGCAGCAGUAGGGAAUCUUACGCAAUGGGCGAAAGCCUGACGGAGCAACGCCGCGUGAGUGAUGACGGUCUUCGGAUCGUAAAACUCUGUUAUUAGGGAAGAACAUAUGUGUAAGUAACUGUGCACAUCUUGACGGUACCUAAUCAGAAAGCCACGGCUAACUACGUG